This 254-nucleotide ribosomal RNA is filed under the name uncultured bacterium. RNAcentral's name for it is "partial 16S ribosomal RNA". It matches the Rfam family "Bacterial small subunit ribosomal RNA", at positions 524 to 776 of the family's 1533-position model. The record is from RNAcentral.
UACGGGGGGAGCAAGCGUUGUUCGGAUUUACUGGGCGUAAAGGGCGCGUAGGCGGCCUGUGCAAGUCAGUUGCGAAAUCUCCGAGCUUAACUCGGAACGGUCAACUGAUACUGCUCGGCUAGAGUGCGGAAGGGGCAACUGGAAUUCUUGGUGUAGCGGUGAAAUGCGUAGAUAUCAAGAGGAACACCUGCGGCGAAGGCGGGUUGCUGGGCCGACACUGACGCUGAUGCGCGAAAGCUAGGGGAGCGAACGGG